This 76-nucleotide transfer RNA is filed under the name Mycoplasmataceae bacterium. RNAcentral's name for it is "tRNA-Lys". It matches the Rfam family "tRNA". Rfam says of the family: Transfer RNA (tRNA) molecules are approximately 80 nucleotides in length. Their secondary structure includes four short double-helical elements and three loops (D, anti-codon, and T loops). Further hydrogen bonds mediate the characteristic L-shaped molecular structure. tRNAs have two regions of fundamental functional importance: the anti-codon, which is responsible for specific mRNA codon recognition, and the 3' end, to which the tRNAs corresponding amino acid is attached (by aminoacyl-tRNA synthetases). tRNAs cope with the degeneracy of the genetic code in two manners: having more than one tRNA (with a specific anti-codon) for a particular amino acid; and 'wobble' base-pairing, i.e. permitting non-standard base-pairing at the 3rd anti-codon position. Lineage: Bacteria; Bacillati; Mycoplasmatota; Mollicutes; Mycoplasmatales; Mycoplasmataceae. The record is from RNAcentral.
GUUCCGUUAGCUCAGUUGGUAGAGCAAAUGACUCUUAAUCAUUGGGUCGUAGGUUCGAAUCCUACACGGAGCACCA